Long non-coding RNA from Struthio camelus australis, 1614 nucleotides. Lineage: Eukaryota; Metazoa; Chordata; Aves; Struthioniformes; Struthionidae. The record is from Ensembl.
GUUUGACUCAUUAGAUUCAAAUACUUAGGCAUGUAUGACCAGCAAAGAAAGAAUAAUACAGCAAGACAAAAUGAGGCAUCCCUGUCUCCCAGCUGAGUCCACUCCUCUAUUUCUCUAGUGUUUGCUCACUAGUAUUUUUUUCUUUUUUCACAUUCUGCAGGCAUGACCUUGAUUGCAACUUGCAGCAGGGACACUGAUGACCACUUCCAUCCAUUCCUACGCACUGUUUACACCCUGACAGCUGCAAUAUGCAAUACUAAAGCUAGAGGCUGCUGCCAUGAUCUGUUUCCUUUAGGUAACUACAGAAUGAAAUGAAAAGAGAAAAAUCUCAAAGAUGGCACAAAAGCCUGCAGCCACAUCUGAUUCCUGUACUCAUUUUAAAUUGUGGUUUACCGGAGGAGGAGAUGUCAAGAACUUCAUGGUCUAAAGGAGUAGAAUGCAACAAUGUCUGCCCAACACCGAGGAGCGCGUGCAUGCUUAAACGCAUAUUUAUAGAGCUACGUGUGCAUUUAAAGGCUAUGAAAGAUGACAGCAACAAUUUUUCAGCUAGAAGGACAGUCACUGCUUGCAGUGGAAGACUGGCCUACAUCAAGCCAAAGACUGCAGACAACUGAUACAAACUUUGCUGGUCCCAGUUGAGUCAUUUACUGUCUCUGAACUCCACGUGCCUUUUACAGAAAGUGAGGAUUGCACUGACUUGCAGGCUAGGGCAGUUGUGAUGAGUAAUUAGCUCAUGACUUGGAAGACCUUAAAUGAUGAAAGUGGCACGUCAGGGAUACGAACUAUUAUUACAAAGGAUGGAGAAGUCCAUGCUUGAGCAGCUUCACAGUAGGAUCCCCAUUGCUGUACAAAGGUAGGGUAAGAAGGGCUGCUCUGUUUUCUAGCUUCUUUUCUCUGAGCUUUUCAUGUGGGAUACCAUCUCAUCUAUCAGGUAACAUUUCAUUAUCUUUCACGGUAACGCUUGAGUCGUAUAUCAUAUUUUCUAAUUUCUUUUUUUGCAAGCCUAGCGCAAUAUCAAUAACGUUACCUUUCACAAUACUGCUUUCAGCACUGGCUAUACAGUGCCGCAUCUUUCACAUGUUUUUUGCCGUUUAUCAAAAUGAAACAUGACAGCAGCUGGAAAUGAUGCUCACAUUUAGUACUUAAUGAUACAUCUGCUUCCUAUCAUGCAAAAAUUCUGAUGCUUUGCUAAACAGAUAUUUUGUUUAGCAACAACCUGUGUGCCAAACUGAAGGUUCAUUAGCUUACGCCUAUCAGCAAGUGAAUCCAGUGUAAUGAGGAGUUGAGUCUACAGGCUACAAUGGCUUAGUUAUUCCACUUUAAAAAAUAGAGUUGACAAAUACUGGAGUUAACGCUGUGCAGACUUCUGAGAAAUACCAAUUUUAAAAUGUGAAAUGCCAUCAAGUACUGUUCCUACUUUCUGUUCAAAGGGUAAACAUGGGAGUCUGCCUACGUAGAGGAGCUCAUCCCGGAAGCUGCCGUUAUUGGAAUAGAAAAAAUGUAUGAGAAAAGUAAUAAUAAGCUAUUUUUUCUUUGUCUUCUGGUGUAAUUUAUAAGCCAUUAGAACCCAUUCAAAAUUGCACAGGAUUCCAGGCGAGAGAGCACAGCAAAGAA